CCUACGGGAGGCAGCAGUGAGGAAUAUUAGUCAAUGGGCGAGAGCCUGAACCAGCGAAGUAGCGUGAAGGAUGAAUGCCCUCAGGGUUGUAAACUUCUUUUAUAAGGGAAUAAAGUGAGGCACGUGUGCCUUUUUGUCUGUACUUUAAGAAUAAGGAUCGGCUAACUCCGUGCCAGCAGCCGCGGUAAUCCGGAGGGUCCGAGCGUUAUCCGGAUUUAUUGGGUUUAAAGGGAGCGUAGAUGGGUUUUUAAGUCUGUUGUGAAAGUUUGCGGCUCAACCGUAAAAUUGCAAUUGAUACUGGCAGCCUUGAGUACAGUAGAGGUAUGCGGAAUUCGUGGUGUAGCGGUGAAAUGCUUAGAUAUCACGAAGAACUCCGAUUGCGAAGGCAGCCUACUAAACUGCCACUGACAUUGAGGCUCGAAAGUGUGGGUAUCAAACAGGAUUAGAUACCCCUGUAGUC
This 460-nucleotide ribosomal RNA is filed under the name uncultured bacterium. RNAcentral describes it as "partial 16S ribosomal RNA". It matches the Rfam family "Bacterial small subunit ribosomal RNA", at positions 338 to 795 of the family's 1533-position model. The record is from RNAcentral.